RNAcentral lists this ribosomal RNA (492 nucleotides) under uncultured bacterium. RNAcentral's name for it is "partial 16S ribosomal RNA". It matches the Rfam family "Bacterial small subunit ribosomal RNA", at positions 29 to 507 of the family's 1533-position model. The record is from RNAcentral.
AGUGAACGCUGGCGGUAGGCCUAACACAUGCAAGUCGAACGGCAGCACAGUAAGAGCUUGCUCUUACGGGUGGCGAGUGGCGGACGGGUGAGGAAUACAUCGGAAUCUACUUUUUCGUGGGGGAUAACGUAGGGAAACUUACGCUAAUACCGCAUACGACCUACGGGUGAAAGCAGGGGAUCUUCUGACCUUGCGCGAUUGAUUGAGCCGAUGUCGGAUUAGCUAGUUGGCGGGGUAAAGGCCCACCAAGGCGACGAUCCGUAGCUGGUCUGAGAGGAUGAUCAGCCACACUGGAACUGGGACACGGUCCAGAAUCCUACGGGAGGCAGCAGUGGGGAAUAUUGGACAAUGGGCGCAAGCCUGAUCCAGCCAUACCGCGUGGGUGAAGAAGGCCUUCGGGUUGUAAAGCCCUUUUGUUGGGAAAGAAAAGCAGCAGGUUAAUACCCCGCUGUUCUGACGGUACCCAAAGAAUAAGCACCGGCUAACUUCGUG